UUGCACAUACAUUUUAAACUUUAAAAAAAAAAAAAAAUGUAGGGUUCGUAGAAUGGGAGUUAUUGGACCAAAUUGUAACUCACAUAAUUUUUUUAAUGCAAGCACCGAAUUAUUCCUCAAUUCGAGUUGCUUGUGUCUCCAGUCUUCAACUGCAUUGGAUUAUGCCAGAGGUAACUUUACUCUUGACAGCGUAUGGUUUUUGGCUAUGUAUAUCAGCUUUACCCGCUUUGUUUUUCGCUUCUUUCUUGUUAACUCGGUGUACCAGAAUAGUGAAUGUUACGAGGUGAAGAGGUCGUAAGUGAUGAAGCAUUUGCACCAAACCUGCUUGGAGAACAUGUGCAUGGGAUGACUUGCUUGUUGCCCAAAACCGGAUAUAACAAUUAUUCAGGCUCACUGUAUUUCUCGAUCGUCAUCAUCAUUAUCUGAUUAAGAGUUUGGGACCACUGCAACUAGAAGUUAUUCAAGGGGGCUGUUGUCGGAAAAGCUACACACACCACAUCUGGCCUCGAGAUCACUAAGACAGAUUUGUAAGAUUAUACUAGGACAUGGCAUGGGGCUGGUCCGUCGGCAAAAAACAAUUCGCUGAAUUUUACUCACAGUUCUAGGAGAUGCAACUGAAGUGACUCAGGCAGUGGCUGAAGCGGCACCCAU
Molecule: long non-coding RNA, 651 nt
Organism: Juglans regia (Persian walnut)
Lineage: Eukaryota; Viridiplantae; Streptophyta; Magnoliopsida; Fagales; Juglandaceae
Exons: 3
Source: RefSeq, a predicted model, not a curated record